Molecule: long non-coding RNA, 1723 nt
Organism: Phymastichus coffea
Lineage: Eukaryota; Metazoa; Arthropoda; Insecta; Hymenoptera; Eulophidae
Exons: 3
Source: RefSeq, a predicted model, not a curated record
UUUAUUUUCUGACAUGCUUUCAAACGUUUUCAUUUACUUGGUAUCAAGCUAUAGUCAAUGCUAAAAGUAUUUUAAGUAAUUUUUGAAAUUAGACUUAAAAAACAGCUUCACGAGCUUUUAAAGUGAGUAAACGACAGAUACAAAUUCAGUAAUUACUUAAAAUUGAAAGUUUUAUAAAAUGAAUUCUUUACACAACAUUUUAAUAAAGUUUUAUAACUUCUUAUAAAUCUACGUUAAAAACAUUUUCUUGGGUUUAAAAAUAGUUACAGAAUUUCGUAAAAGCAGAAAAUGUGAAAGUUAAAAGUAUUCUAGUUUUGAAAUUAUUGUUUUCAACACAUACUACCUUACACUACAGUACACUAUAAUACGAAAUACUAAGAAAUAUUAAGUUGAUAAUCAUGCUAUGGGCACAAACGGAACCGUCUUGAAAUUAUUAAUGAAAAGUAUGACAAAAAUAAUAUACUUCCUCGAGGCUGGAAAAAUUAAUAGAAAAAAGAUUAUGGAAUAAUACUGCAAAAUUCGAGCAUAAGUUGUAAUGCUUUUCAUUACGAUAUUAAUUAAAAAUAUCUAGCUGAUGAGGUUAUGUUGGAUUUUGUCGGUGGUUUGAGUGUAUGCGUGAGUAACGGCUUUUCAGGAGUUUCUAGGUGGAUUCAAGAUUUCUGAUUAACUGUCUCGUUGAAUUGAAUGAAAUUUAAAAGGUGAUAGUUAAUUAGAUUUUCUAACUCGCUUAUCAAUUCCGCUCAUACCCUGCUUUAAAUGAAGAGUUGCCUACGAGAGUUAGACCGAUCAACCUUUGAAAUUCCACGAGCAAGGACAACGAACCGUUAAGAAGUCAACUGACCACUUUGUGACGGAAAAAUCUACUGGUUAGAAACGCAAACUUCAAUACCUAUCGCAGUCGAUUAGUAUUAUUCGAGUUCUGUUUAUGCGUUUCCAACUCGAAUUUCCCACGACUGCUGCAACCUAAGGAGGGUAGUCUGGCGCCCGUUAAGAAUACGUGGUGUAAUGCGUGUGCCAAAUACAUUUUUCUUCGAAACUUGAUGAACAAAACAAAUCAAGGAAUAGUCUGCAAAUGAUUUAUAAAAUGUUGCUCUUGUGGUGUUAUUAUUAAAGUGGAUACUGAAAAACAAAGUAAUAAAUAUUAUUAUGACACAAAUCUGAAAUCAACUAUAGGUAUGGUUGAUGCGAGUAUUGGUGAAAUUAAAUUGAAUACCUAUUUAUCAACAUUGAAUGCAACACACAUGAAGCCAAAUCUUUAAAACAACACAAGAGAUCGUGAGAAAAGAAAUAGAAAAUUUAGCAAAAGCAUUUUGUGUGGCAGCCUUAGCAGAAGAAAAAAUAGCGACUCCUGAACAUCAACGCCGAAUGUAUGUUGCCUUCAACAACACAAUAUGUAUCGGAAGGAUUGUAUAGUCAUAAAUAUUACUUGAUUACUGGACAUAAUCAUUUCUAUGAAAAGAUUGGUUCGCUUGUGUACAAUUAACAACGUUAUCAUUUAUACUUAAUAUUUAUAUGUACAUUUCAUGUUAUUGUACAAUAUGUUAUGACAUUUUAUUAAAAUAAUACAUCGAAAAAUCACUAUAUACAACUUGUAAUAGAAUGAAAUUCCACAAUGAAUUUUAUAUAUAAACUUGAUUUUUACAACAUUUAAUUUAUAAUUUAUACUUUAUAGUAUAACUGCAAUAAUUAUACAUGUAUCAAAUCAUAUUAUACAAUCGGAAAA